This 460-nucleotide ribosomal RNA is filed under the name uncultured bacterium. RNAcentral's name for it is "partial 16S ribosomal RNA". It matches the Rfam family "Bacterial small subunit ribosomal RNA", at positions 338 to 795 of the family's 1533-position model. The record is from RNAcentral.
CCUACGGGUGGCAGCAGUGAGGAAUAUUGGUCAAUGGGCGCGAGCCUGAACCAGCAAAGUCGCGUGAAGGAUGACUGCCCUACGGGUUGUAAACUUCUUUUAUAGAGGAAUAAAGUGAGGCACGUGUGCCUUUUUGUAUGUACUUUAUGAAUAAGGAUCGACUAACUCCGUGCCAGAAGCCGCGGUAAUACGGAGGAUGCGAGCGUUAUCCGGACUUAUUGGGUUUAAAGGGAGCGUAGAUGGGUUGUUAAGUCAGUUGUGAAAGUUUGAGGCUCAACCGUAAAAUUGCAAUUGAUACUGUCAGUCUUGAGUGCAGUUGAGGUAGGCGGAAUUCGUGGUGUAGCGGUGAAAUGCGUAGAUAUCACGAAGAACUCCAAUGGCGAAGGCAGCUUACUAAACUGCCACUGACAUUGAGGCUCGAAAGCGUGGGUAUCAAACAGGAUUAGAUACCCUAGUAGUC